This 450-nucleotide ribosomal RNA is filed under the name Triticum aestivum (bread wheat). RNAcentral's name for it is "partial small subunit ribosomal RNA". Lineage: Eukaryota; Viridiplantae; Streptophyta; Magnoliopsida; Poales; Poaceae. The record is from RNAcentral.
GCUCAUUCUUCAGCCGUAGAGAGACUUUUGAAUUGUGAGGUACCAUUACGAGCUCAAUAUAUAAGAGUGUUAUUCUGUGAAAUAACUCAAAUUUCAAAUCAUUCACUUGCUUCAACUACUCAUGCUAUGGAUGUGGGAGCAUCAACUCCGUUCCUUUGGGCUUUUGAGGAGCGGGAGAAAUUGUUGGAAUUCUAUGAAAGAGUCCCGGGAGCCAGGAUGCAUGCCAGUUUCAUACGACCUGGUGGAGUGGCACAAGAUCUGCCUCUUGGCUUAUGUCGAGAUAUUGAUUCCUCCACACAACAAUUUGCUUCUCGUAUCGACGAAUUAGAAGAGAUGUCAACCGGCAACCGUAUCUGGAAACAACGAUUAGUGGAUAUUGGUACUGUCACUGCACAGCAAGCAAAGGAUUGGGGAUUCAGUGGUGUAAUGUUAAGAGGUCGUGCGACAUGA